GCUGACGAGUGGCGAACGGGUGAGUAACGCGUACGCAACUUACCCCUAACUAAGGAAUAGCCCCGGGAAACUGGGAUUAAUACCUUAUAAUAUUUUGUUCCGGCAUCGGAAUAAGAUUAAAACUCCGGUGGUUAGGGAUGGGCGUGCGUCCCAUUAGCUUGUUGGUGAGGUAACGGCUCACCAAGGCAACGAUGGGUAGCUGGCGUGAGAGCGCGAUCAGCCACACGGGCACUGAGACACGGGCCCG
RNAcentral lists this ribosomal RNA (247 nucleotides) under uncultured bacterium. RNAcentral's name for it is "partial 16S ribosomal RNA". It matches the Rfam family "Bacterial small subunit ribosomal RNA", at positions 87 to 334 of the family's 1533-position model. The record is from RNAcentral.